UGGAGAUGGCACUCGAUGGACAGAUGGUCCUUUGUGACUCCUGACACCUGCCAGCUGCUGCUCUGCUCCUCCUUACCUCUUUUCUUUCCUUCUGCCUCUCAUCUCACCUCACUUCUUUGCUUUUUCUCCUCCUCUGUUCUCUCCAGCGCUCCUCUCUUUAUCUCCUUUUUGUUCUCUUAUUGUAGCUCCCCCUUUUCAGCGCGACAACGUUCAGAGGACAAUGCCAGUGGAGUACGAGGAAGGAGGUGUGCUGUAUUGAUAGGGGUGUCUGAUUCCAAGCCUCGAGGGCCGGUCUCCAGCUGGUUUUCCAAAAAUCCUGCCUUAACUGCUGUUGAUGACCUGGAUCAGGAAGAAAAGCCAGACCCUGUGGGAAAUAAUAAGAUGUACAACAAAUAACAGGUGGGAAACAAAAAAAGCACAUCAAUCAGUCUGGAAAGCCUCUACUUUAAAGCCUUGGGAGUCUGGUGAACCAAGGAGGGGGCCAUCGAAAUCAAAUGGAAAAAUCUGGGAA
Molecule: long non-coding RNA, 511 nt
Organism: Oryzias latipes (Japanese medaka)
Lineage: Eukaryota; Metazoa; Chordata; Actinopteri; Beloniformes; Adrianichthyidae
Source: RefSeq, a predicted model, not a curated record